AAAAAAAUUUGAUUAAAGAGCAAUUAUGACCAGUCAAAAGAAAAAUUUUUUUUUCCACAACAUAACAUUUUGUGUUUGGAAUAUAGAUGGGCUUAUUUCAAAGCACCAUGAUAAAAUAACAGAUCCCCUUUUUCUUCAAGAGAUAAGAAAUUAUGAUGUUGUACUAUUAACUGAGACCCAUGUAGGUUAUAACACUACAGUCAAUAUUGAGGGUUUUAACUAUUACCCUAUUUGUAGACCACAAUCAACUAAUUCUAGAUACUAUGGGGGCCUAGGUAUUUUGAUAAAAUAUGAAGUUCGCAAGGGCAUCAAGAUUUUAACAAAUACAUGUAAAGAUUAUCAAUGGUUGCAAUUUGAUAAACAUUAUUUUAAUCUAAAUACAGAUAUAUUUCUAUGUUUGGCAUAUAUUAUACCUGCAACUUCAUUUUAUGCUGACCAAUCAGAAGACGACACACUUGAAAACAUAGAAAAAGAUAUUAUUAAGUUUAAUCAAUAAGGUAGUAUUAUAUUGUGUGGUGACUUAAAUGCAAGGACAGGGUCAGAGCCAGAUUUUAUAAUUAAUGAUGUUAAUGAUACACAUAUACCAAUGUAUGAUAAUUAUAGUUGUGAUGUUAUUCAAGAAAAAAGAUGUAGUUAUGAUAUGAAAGUAGAUUCAAGAGGUAAACAACUUCUGGACUUGUGUAUUGCGUCCAAAUUACGUAUUUUAAAUGGGAGAAUGUGGGGCG
RNAcentral lists this long non-coding RNA (725 nucleotides) under Mytilus galloprovincialis (Mediterranean mussel). The record is from RNAcentral. Lineage: Eukaryota; Metazoa; Mollusca; Bivalvia; Mytilida; Mytilidae.